RNAcentral lists this small nuclear RNA (104 nucleotides) under Castor canadensis (American beaver). The record is from RNAcentral. Lineage: Eukaryota; Metazoa; Chordata; Mammalia; Rodentia; Castoridae.
GUGUAUGUGCUCACACAUACACCAAAACUGGAACAAUACAGAGAAUAUUAGCAUGGCUCUAGCACAAGGAUGACACACAAAUUUGGGAAGUAUUCCAUAUUAUU